Heterocephalus glaber (naked mole-rat) is the source of this 2086-nucleotide non-coding RNA. The record is from RefSeq and is a predicted model, not a curated record. NCBI's taxonomy places the organism in Eukaryota, Metazoa, Chordata, Mammalia, Rodentia, Bathyergidae.
GGCGGGGCCGCGGGGCUUCCGCUACGGGACUCAACGGACGUACCGAGGGAACGCCCACGACUGGUCCUGCUCCUCAGGCCGGACGCGCCUCGCUUCGGCUCGGCCAAGCCCAAGGUUCCCACUGGCCCGGACCUUUGGUCCUGCCUUGCAACGGCUUCUGUUUUUUGUGGACUCUAUACUGAUUUCCAUAAUGGUUGACUAGUUCAUGUUCCCACCAACAAGGAGAUAGUAGAAGGACUCUCCCACCCGGCCUCACCAGCAUUUGGAGGAAAGAUGCCAAGUUCCGAGCACCCCUAUGGAGAAACUGCUUCCUAUGGUAGCUAAAUAAAUAAGCAGAGAUGGAGUCUCCACCUUCAUCCCACUCCCAGCUGACCUCUUGAUUGCAACUUCAUGAGAGGUCCUGAAUGAGAACCAUCCAGCCCCUUGUGGUUCCGGAAUAACCUCGCCUCACUUGGAUUCCUCUCCAGGCUGUUGUUUUCCAGACUACACAGCUUGUCUUGGAGAGUGCUGGCGCUCACUGCUCCGCCAUUUCAGCUUCCUCACGUUCGUCGCUGCAUUAUUUAUAGAUAGAACUUUGAAGAAAAUAUUUGAAUAUGUCACGUAUGCAUUGAACAAGUACUGUUAACAGUGAACUUUGCUCUUACAGACUUGAUCAUGAGUUCCAUGAGUUUUUGCCAGAAGUCAAAGAGAAAUACCUUGAUUUGUCCCACCACGUGGAAAUGUAAAGACUUAUCAAAAUUUGGAGUUUUAGGGGCCAGGGAUUUAGCUCAGUGGUUCUCGCACCUGCCUCACAAGCACAAGGUCCUGAGUUCAAUCCCCGGUACUCAAAGAAAAAUUUUGAAGUUUUAGUACGAUACUUUGAACUCAGGGCCAAGAUUUAAUUUUUUUCUGAACAAAAAGAACCUGUUUGAUCCACUCUUCUAAAAUAGUGAAUGACUUUGGGAAUAAGAUUUUACUAUGGAUUUGAAAGUGUUUCUUAAUGCAUUUAAGUUAAUAGUAAAAGGCAAAAAGGUUCUUUUUUUUUUUUGGUACCGGGGAUUGAACUUGGGUCCUUGCACUUGCGCAGCAGGCGGCAACCCCACUGAGCUAAAUCCCUGGGCCCAAAAUGGUUCUUAUAUGCAAAAUUGUAUUGUGGUAAAGUAAUUUUUACUUUACUAAUACUGAGUAACAAGUCAUGUUAAGCUGCUUUAUGUACUUCACAUGAUGUCAAAAGUCUAAACCAAAGAAAGAUCUCUAGCCACGCACAGUGGUGCAUCCCUUUAACUCAGCUGCUUGGGAGGCUGAGGCAGGAAGAUCAUAACUUGGUAGCCAGUUGGGCACCUUAGUGAGACUCUCAAAAUCAAAACCAGCCCGGUGGUCAGUCUGAAUAGGAAAAGGAGGAAGUUGAGGGGGACAAGGAAGAGCAGCAGGAGGAGGGGAAGAAGCAGAAGAUCAUCUCUGUACCAGUACAAAUAUCCAGUGAGAUCAUACUUGGAGCUCAAAAUACAGCUGAAGCAGUGUUUUUUUGGAGCUUGUAUUCUGAAGGGAAGUUUAUACCCUGCAAAAUCUACUUAACUGUGCAGUGGAGAAGGUUCCCCAUAAUCUUCAACUCAGAGUGAUUAAUAUGCAGUGGAGUGAUAAGGUAAAACAAAUAUCACGAGUAGAAUCUAAUAGGAUCUCAUAAAUGCCUUGUAUGUGAUGGGUACCCACAAUUAAAAUAGCAUGCUUAUGUACAGAUAUCAGUACUGGUAAUACCUAUCUUUGUGAAAAGACAUUUUAAAAAAUGAAAUACAUAAUAUCUCAUUACAGAUGACCAUUAAUAGAUAAAAAUUUUCAGUUGAUUAUGAUGACAACUAACUUUGAUCCCCAAUUAAGGAAAAUGUUAUCGCACCCAAAAGAAUUCCAUUCUUGGGCCGGGGAUUUAGCUCAGUGGUUUUGCCGCCUGCUGUGCAAACACAAGGACCAAGAAUUCCAUUCUUUUCAUUGGAAAAACUGUGUAUGUAACCAAAAAUUUGUACUUAUUGUAAUUUGAAUUUUUUCAAUUAAAAUUUUGUGAAAUCUGUUUUUUUUCCUCUCUUGUUACAUAAAUACCUGCAUAAAUCCUUGA